Mycena metata is the source of this 94-nucleotide non-coding RNA. Lineage: Eukaryota; Fungi; Basidiomycota; Agaricomycetes; Agaricales; Mycenaceae. The record is from the annotation of a GenBank genome assembly.
GUGGGUGUGGUGUAUGGUACACGGCUGUCGCAGUUGCACAAUAAUUAAGAAUGUUUGUAAGCAGCAGAACCGGGUUCGAUCCCUGGCAUCCACA